UUGGAUGGGGAAAGAGGCACAUCACCGUCAUAGGAGCGAGACUCUUCACUCUGGAAACUACGGGUACGCUGCAUUCCCCGUGGCCGCAUAAGCAAGGGAGAGGAGUCACAACACCUCUGGGAAUCAAGUGCAUCUGUGAGUGAGCUUGCUUAAAAUGGUCAAAACCUAUUCUGUCUUUAUUUCUCAAAAUGUCACAGUCUUCAUUGCUGAGUUAUUUUCCCAGGAAAUGGCUCGGAAGAGGAUUUCUGCCGUGUGUUUCUGGUUUGUGUUACGGAAUCAGCUCUGAUGAAAUGUGAGUCCAUGUUAAAGGAAUAGUUCAACAUUUUGGGGAAGCAAAUGCUUCGUGGCUUUCUUGGUCGAGAGUAAGGUGAGAAAAUCAACACCCCUCUCGUAUCGGACUGCUGCUGGAGCCACGCUGGCCUGCCCGGAUUCCUCCGGCGAGAUAAGCGAUAAGUGUACGUUGUUGAGCUAUUCCUUUCAUUGUUACUGACACCGCGGACCACAUGGACUUGGCAGCACCGCCGACAACUCAAAGAAAAGGCGCAAGGGCACAACCUUUGUGGUUGUACACCGUGGCAAGAAAAGAGAAGAGACUCGCACCAAAGGAAGAACUCAGAGAGGAACAGUGGGUAAAUCCUGGGCAACAAGUUCUGUCCCCGACGCUCACGACUGGCCAAUUAUAAUUCCCCCUUUCUGUAAAUACUACAUCAGUUCUUCCCACUCUGACUCACUCCUCUCC
Long non-coding RNA from Gasterosteus aculeatus aculeatus (three-spined stickleback), 739 nucleotides. The record is from Ensembl. NCBI's taxonomy places the organism in Eukaryota, Metazoa, Chordata, Actinopteri, Perciformes, Gasterosteidae.